AUUUUUGGCGACAAAAAGAGUGAAAAGAGUGAAUGCGAUGAUAAAGGUGACAACUAUCAAGAUGUCCGUAACCAUAAGAAAGACAUGAGUAAAAACCAGACGAAGGACUAGAUACAAAAGACUAGCUGAGUAGAACACAUGGGAAGUCAAUACAUGGACUGCUUCGUCAGAGUAAUAAAACAACAAAUCAGGACAAGCUUAAAGCUCUACUUGUAUCCAGUCUUUAUAAUCAAGUGUAAACUCAUUCUUCUUCUCUUAGACUUCUUUUGUUUUUUUUAAAUACUUAUAUUAUCUCUGUCUGUCAGUCUGUCUGUCUGUCUGGUACAUAUUUUUGAACACGUUAUUUCUCCAACUACCCAUUCUCAGUUCAAAUUGAAACUGCUCAUUCAUUGUUUCUGUUACUCCUGUUAUUCCUGUUAUAUUUUUAUUUUUACUAAGACUUAAGUUUUAUGCAAAUUAAAGGCAUUCAAAUAUCCAUUUUAAAAAAAAAUUCUUGUGGUUAAAUUCAUCAUUGUGCUAGCGGAUUGUUCUGAUUUUAAAGGCUGAAUGGAUCAUAAUGAAAUCACGAGGUGGUGUUUUGUAAUUGAAGUUGAAUAGAGAUGAGACUUAAUGAACAAUUGAAACUGGAAGAACGUGUUUUUUGUUUUUUUUUGUGGGUUAGAUUUUGUUUAAAUUAUCAUUUCAUUUGUGGUUCUACGUAUAUCUACAGUAUAUACUUUUAAUAAUUGUAGUAUCUCCUCAAAUCUACACUCUUCACAUGCUUAAAUUCUCUCCCUUGUUUUUUUUACAUUUAUUAAUUAAAAUCUUUCUCUCUUUUUUUAAAGUAUAUGGAUAUCUUUAUUGUAAUUUAUAGUUAAGAAAGUCGUAUAUUUAUUUAGAAGAAAAUUACAAUAAUUGGUUUACCAUUACUCACCAUUGUGUUAUAUCCUUUCAUGAAACUGUGUCUUUGACUUUUGAAAUCAACCACUUCAUUAAAAAUGUUACACAUCCAACUAGAAACCAAAGGUUUAAGUUUAUUACGUUCGAACCAUUAAUCUUGUUGCUUUUGUAAACCAUUUUUAGACCGAAAUUUCUGAUGAUUUAGUCCUGUAAAAAGAAAUGAAACAUAUCUACACGAUAUGAAGAAGAGUCAUUUAAUAUCGGUGAAAACUGGGACUUUGAAUUUGGGGAUUUUGGUACACACCUGACUUCACAAAAAUAUAAUGGAUAUCUGAUAUUAGUUAGGAAGGUUAUUAGGGUUGGUGAUUGUGUUGUACACAUAACACCCUCGUAACAGUCGGUCAUAGAAACAGACGAAACAAACAUGUAUUUCUUUUAUUGUCUACCCUAUAGACCGCACGAUCUGAAUUGGGUUCUUCACUUUUUAAAAUUUAUUGAGGUCAAUCGGUCGCAUGUUAAUUUAUGACACAUUUUGAUGACCAUUUCAUGUGUUGCAUUGUGAAGGUAAAAUCUGCCGCCUAUUAAAUAUUCUAUAAAAAAAAGGUAUACAUGUAUAUGUUUAAGCCCGUCUCAGGCGGAGUUAUGUUUGCUAAAAGCUAAUGGCAGAACGGAAAAUGUUUCAAUAUACCCCUGCCCAAAUGGACCAUAAUGCAGUAAUCAUGUAAGAUAUGCUAAAAAUAAAAAAAAAGAAAGCAAUUCUAAGAUAACAUAAACAAAUAGUUGAUAUAGAAAAAUGUCAAAAGCAUAAUAAAAUUUUAUUCUUAGAAUUGUUUGCGAAAAUUUUUGGGACCAAAUAAAACGUUAGAUAAUAAAAAUUCGGAGUUAUUUUGUUAUUAAUAGACAAAAUAAGCUCUGCCAGAUUUCACUAUUUAUAUUCAAGUUAUGGUAGUGUGUACCUACCCGUGCAGAUAAGUGAACACACACUUUUAUAUGAUAUAUAUUAAUGAUUUGGUAAAUGUAUAAAGGAUACCGCAUAAAACUUCAUAUUUUUUUAUUUUUAUGUGUUUGAAAAUCUCUGGUAAGGGAAAGAAUCGCACUGUGCACUGUGCACCAAUUUACAAAGUGCACAUCAUGCGUACCAGUACCCCGUUCAGAACAGUGGCGAAGAACGUGGUCGUUAAAACUAGAGAAAACUAUUUCCCGCCCAAGUGUCAAAGCAGAAGAGAAAUAGAAUUAAAUGUCAGAGAACUGUUAUGUGUAUUUUAUUUAAUCAUAUCAUUUUCAUUUUUGUAAAUAAAUAUCCACUUGUAUUGCCUUCUUAUUGAGUUACACACAUUAAUAUACAACAGAUUUUCUGUUGGACAGUUGGAACACGACACGAGAUCACACAACCAUCUCUCGCCAUUCCUCUCUGUCUGUACGCUUUUAUACUCAGAUCGUGAGUGAUGGAAAAAGACUUUUAACUCUUUCUCUCCGUAAUUAU
Biomphalaria pfeifferi is the source of this 2362-nucleotide non-coding RNA. The record is from the annotation of a GenBank genome assembly. Lineage: Eukaryota; Metazoa; Mollusca; Gastropoda; Planorbidae.